AGAGUUUGAUCCUGGCUCAGAACGAACGCUGGCGGCAGGCUUAACACAUGCAAGUCGAGCGCCCCGCAAGGGGAGCGGCAGACGGGUGAGUAACGCGUGGGAAUCUACCCAUCACUACGGAACAACUCCGGGAAACUGGAGCUAAUACCGUAUACGUCCUUCGGGAGAAAGAUUUAUCGGUGAUGGAUGAGCCCGCGUUGGAUUAGCUAGUUGGUGGGGUAAUGGCCUACCAAGGCGACGAUCCAUAGCUGGUCUGAGAGGAUGAUCAGCCACAUUGGGACUGAGACACGGCCCAAACUCCUACGGGAGGCAGCAGUGGGGAAUAUUGGACAAUGGGCGAAAGCCUGAUCCAGCCAUGCCGCGUGAGUGAUGAAGGCCCUAGGGUUGUAAAGCUCUUUCACCGGUGAAGAUAAUGACGGUAACCGGAGAAGAAGCCCCGGCUAACUUCGUGCCAGCAGCCGCGGUAAUACGAAGGGGGCUAGCGUUGCUCGGAAUUACUGGGCGUAAAGGGAGCGUAGGCGGACAUUUAAGUCAGGGGUGAAAUCCCGGAGCUCAACUCCGGAACUGCCUUUGAUACUGGGUGUCUUGAGUGUGAGAGAGGUAUGUGGAACUCCGAGUGUAGAGGUGAAAUUCGUAGAUAUUCGGAAGAACACCAGUGGCGAAGGCGACAUACUGGCUCAUUACUGACGCUGAGGCUCGAAAGCGUGGGGAGCAAACAGGAUUAGAUACCCUGGUAGUCC
RNAcentral lists this ribosomal RNA (740 nucleotides) under uncultured bacterium. RNAcentral describes it as "bacterial SSU rRNA". It matches the Rfam family "Bacterial small subunit ribosomal RNA", at positions 8 to 796 of the family's 1533-position model. The record is from RNAcentral.